GGGCAUGUAGUGUAGCUGGUUAUCGCGCCUCAUUUGCAUAAAAUCGAGCUUUAAAUCGGGCAAAAUACAACUUGAGGAGGUCCCCAGUUCGAGUCUGGGCUUGUCCA
Ceratobasidium sp. AG-Ba is the source of this 107-nucleotide non-coding RNA. NCBI's taxonomy places the organism in Eukaryota, Fungi, Basidiomycota, Agaricomycetes, Cantharellales, Ceratobasidiaceae. The record is from the annotation of a GenBank genome assembly.